GAUGAACGCUGGCGGCGUGCCUAAUACAUGCAAGUCGAGCGAACGGACGAGAAGCUUGCUUCUCUGAUGUUAGCGGCGGACGGGUGAGUAACACGUGGAUAACCUACCUAUAAGACUGGGAUAACUUCGGGAAACCGGAGCUAAUACCGGAUAAUAUUUUGAACCGCAUGGUUCAAAAGUGAAAGACGGUCUUGCUGUCACUUAUAGAUGGAUCCGCGCUGCACUAGCUAGUUGGUAAGGUAACGGCUUACCAAGGCAACGAUGCAUAGCCGACCUGAGAGGGGGAUCGGCCACACGGGAACUGAGACACGGUCCAGACUCCUACGGGAGGCAGCAGUAGGAAUCUUCCGCAAUGGGCGAAAGCCUGACGGAGCAACGCCGCGUGAGUGAUGAAGGUCUUCGGAUCGUAAAACUCUGUUAUUAGGGAAGAACAUAUGUGUAAGUAACUGUGCACAUCUUGACGGUACCUAAUCAGAAAGCCACGGCUAACUACGUG
This 496-nucleotide ribosomal RNA is filed under the name uncultured bacterium. RNAcentral describes it as "partial 16S ribosomal RNA". It matches the Rfam family "Bacterial small subunit ribosomal RNA", at positions 28 to 507 of the family's 1533-position model. The record is from RNAcentral.